ACGCUGGGAGAAGUUCCCUGAGAAUUUCUCCAGGCAGGGGAGCUGCCCCAGCCCUGCUGCCGCCGCCAGCCCCGAGCUCCUCCCGCAGCCGAGGGCUCAGCACGGGACAGGGUCACCGCGACCCCCCCACGCACCCCCCUCACCGCCCUCUCCCUCCCCAGGGCCACCUUCCCCCUGCACCCCGCUGCCUCCUUCAGCACCAGAAGCUCAGUGCUUGAGCUGGAGCCAGUGCCGAGCCCCGUGCGGAGGAUGCUGCUCAUCAAAACCAUCGAGACGAGGGACGGGCAGGUAAGCAGCGGGGGGCUGCACCCCCCCCCGGUGCGGGGUUGACCCCCCCCCGGUGUGGGGCUGACCCCCCAGAUGUGGGGCUGACCCCCAAAUUCUCCCCCCACAGCAGGUGGUGACGGAGUCGCACACGGAGCGAGCGGAGCCCAAGUGAGGGGGGGCUCCCGGUGCCCCCCCCCGGUGCUGCCCCCGCCGACGGAGGCCAGAGCGGACCCCUUGGACUCCCCGGU
RNAcentral lists this long non-coding RNA (515 nucleotides) under Anas platyrhynchos platyrhynchos (common mallard). RNAcentral describes it as "lncRNA (ENSAPLG00000029107.1)". The record is from RNAcentral. Lineage: Eukaryota; Metazoa; Chordata; Aves; Anseriformes; Anatidae.